UACCGGCAGCACGAGUGAUGGCCGCUCUUAUUGGGCCUAAAGCGUCCGUAGCUGGCCGCGCAAGUCCAUCGGGAAAUCCGCACGCCUAACGUGCGGGCGUCCGGUGGAAACUGCGUGGCUUGGGACCGGAAGAUCCAGAGGGUACGUCCGGGGUAGGAGUGAAAUCCUGUAAUCCUGGACGGACCACCGGUGGCGAAAGCGCUCUGGAAAGACGGAUCCGACGGUGAGGGACGAAAGCUCGGGUCACGAACCGGAUUAGAUACCCCCGUAGUCC
Molecule: ribosomal RNA, 274 nt
Filed under: uncultured bacterium
Lineage: Bacteria
Description: partial 16S ribosomal RNA
Rfam family: Archaeal small subunit ribosomal RNA
Source: RNAcentral